This is a small nucleolar RNA of Ictidomys tridecemlineatus (thirteen-lined ground squirrel), 75 nucleotides long. Ensembl annotates it as small nucleolar RNA, C/D box 114-17. Its record names the gene SNORD114-17. Lineage: Eukaryota; Metazoa; Chordata; Mammalia; Rodentia; Sciuridae. The record is from Ensembl.
GGGACCAAUGAUAGCAAUGAUGACAAUUUGUGUUACAGACUAUGAAUAAUAUGUGUCUGAAACUCUGAGGUCCAA